AUGUCCUUCUGGGAUAUCCGAUAAAAGUGGAACGAUAUGGAGAAGAUUAGCAUAAUCCCUACACAAGGAUGGUACGCACAAAUCGAGAAAUGGAGUAUGACUUG
Molecule: small nuclear RNA, 104 nt
Filed under: Solanum tuberosum (potato)
Lineage: Eukaryota; Viridiplantae; Streptophyta; Magnoliopsida; Solanales; Solanaceae
Source: RNAcentral